RNAcentral lists this ribosomal RNA (360 nucleotides) under uncultured Glomeromycotina. Its description in RNAcentral is "partial large subunit ribosomal RNA". Lineage: Eukaryota; Fungi; Glomeromycota. The record is from RNAcentral.
UUGAAAGGGAAACGAUUGAAGUNAGUCGUCCCGCCGAGAAAUCAGCUUUUCGAAUGUGNAUUUGUGGGCGUAUGAGAUUUUNAUUGUUUCCAAUAUGCGUAUUUUUUUGGUGUACUUUUUCGUAUGGUAGGUCACCNUCGCUUUUGCCCGCCAUAAAAUGAUAGGAGGAAUGUAGCUUCCCCUUCGGUUGAAGUGUUAUAGCCUUUGGUAAAUGUGGUGAUUAAGCCGAGGAUUGCAACGAAUACCUUUUAGGCUAUCCGUCUGCCUCUGAAAGCCCCUCGGUGCUGACCCUCNCCCCNNCNNNNCCAUNUGACUAGUAAUAGGUUAGACCCGAUCNNCUUCGUUAAGGAUGUUGACGUA